AGAGAGAGAGAGAGAGAGAGAGAGAGAGAGAGAGAGAGAGAGAGAGAGAGAGAGAGAGAGAGAGAGAGAGAGAGAGAGAGAGAGGAUAUAGUAAGGGAGGGUAGGUGAUAUGAUUGGUGUAGAAAUUAAAGAGAGAAAGAGAGAGAGAAAAGAAAAUAGCUUCAAUUAGGCAUAAUUUUUUUUUUAUAUAUACAUUUCACUGCUGUUGUUGUUGUUUAUGUUGCUAUAAGAGAAAUACUCGACAGGCCUGCCAUUAUUCUAUGUUAUAUUCAUACAUACAUACAUACAUAUACUCCUAUACAUAGAUACAUACAUAAAUGCGUUCUUGAGUGUGUCAUUCGAUAACUGCUGUAUAAUCAUCGAGAGAGAGAGAGAGAGAGAGAGAGAGAGAGAGAGAGAGUUGUUUUAUUUAAUUUUUGUGUUUGUUUGUUUGUUUGUUUGCCUUGUUCUGUUCGUUCGUUUGUUUGUGUUGUGCAAUAAGGUUGAAAGAGUUGUCUGUUUGAUGAAGGGAACCGCCUCUAUUGAUUCCGUUUCUUUGUUUUGUUGUAUUUUAUUUGUUGCAUUAAUUUCAUAUGUAAUAAUUCUGUUUCUCAUUUAAUUUUCCUUAUUUUCUUGUUAUUUUCUCUUCUUCCUUACGUAAUUUUAAACUUUUCUUUGUUUUCCUUCAAAUUAUUUAUCAUUUUGGCUCUUAUAAAUUUUCUUUUUCUCAGUAUCUCUUUUCUCCUUUAUUAACUUUAAAAAUCAACUCAUAUUAACCAAGUAUUUUUUAUAUUUCAUCAAGCAUAGAAUUUUUUUAAUUAAUCUCUAUUGCACUCUUUACAAUCCCUUCCUUUUCUUUUUCUUUUAUGAAUCUGCAAACUGAUCCCUUUGUGUUCCCUUUAUAUGGUUUCCAGCACACUUAUUGUCUCCUUUUGUUGAACUGAACCCCAUUUGUGUUCCCGUGAGUGUAUCUAAUGUUUUGUUUAUUUAUUCAUUGUCUGGUUUGUUCUUUGUUAUUUUUUAUACUUCCAUUUUUAUGUAUGUAAAUCUGUGUUGUAUUGUCAAGUGCUGUGCAAUUUUUAUACUUUUCCUCGCCAAAAAAGCAAAACUGUUAUCUCUCUGUGGCUCAAACAUGGCUGCCAGACGUAAUAUUGUGUGCUUUUUAUUUAUUUAUUUUUUUUUUUGCAAACUUCAGUCUUUUGAGAAACUUAUGUAGUGCUGUGAAUUUCUAACUCUCAAGUUUUCCAAUAUAACAAGAAAACAUUUACUGAUAUAUUCUGGUGCAAUAUUCAAGAUUCUCACCAAGGAAUGAAUAGAUUGAUAAAUAGAUGAAUAAAAUCUUCUUCUUAAUGUCAUAUUUCUAGUGCAAUACUGAAAAUUCUCACCAAUCAAUACUCAUUUUUCUAGCUAACAUUAAAUUUAAUGCAUAUGGAACUCUAAUAUAAGUUAACAUUUACCUACUGCCAUAUUUUUAGUGCAAUAUUACAAUUCUCAUUAUUUUUAAUCACUUCUUUGCUAUGGUGUGAAACAUAAAUCUCGUACAGAAUAUUCAACCACUUUUAAUCAGGUAUUUUUGAGUGUUUUCUUUUACGUCUGGCAACACUGUGAGCCAUGAGAAGAAGGAUGUCAGAUGCGUGAUGAGUGUCGUACUUUUCGAAUUCUGGCUUCUCCGCAUGCUACCAAAUGCUAUAGUCCUUUCAGAUUAACUCGAGUGGCGUCCCUGUUCACUCCUACCCUUGUGCUUCCCCUUAGUUCACUUCAGAAGGAGGAGGAGGGAAGGAAGUGUAUCUAGCAAUCUAAUUAAGCAAAUAUAUAUAUAAAAAAAGGAGGGAAUAGGGAAGCUUAUCCAAUGAAUUAUAGUGAGAUGACUAUAGCUUCUUAAUUAUGCAGGUGCAAGUGUGUGUGUGUGUGUGUGUGUGUGUGUGUGUGUGUGUGUGUGUGUGUGUGUGUGUGUGUGUGUGUGUGUGUGUGCAAAGGCUGCCAACGGUAACAAGUGUAUUUAUUUUCUAUUUGCCCAUAACUUAAUUUGGAGUGAAAGAAUGACUCGUUUUUAUUUCUUUUCUUUUUAUACACACAAGCCUUUUUUUCUAAACUAAUAAACUGUUAACUAAG
Molecule: long non-coding RNA, 2091 nt
Organism: Portunus trituberculatus (swimming crab)
Lineage: Eukaryota; Metazoa; Arthropoda; Malacostraca; Decapoda; Portunidae
Exons: 2
Source: RefSeq, a predicted model, not a curated record